Molecule: long non-coding RNA, 1198 nt
Filed under: Medicago truncatula (barrel medic)
Lineage: Eukaryota; Viridiplantae; Streptophyta; Magnoliopsida; Fabales; Fabaceae
Description: long non-coding RNA (MTRU_LNC006836)
Source: RNAcentral
AAAAUUUUGAAGUGGCGUAGUUGAUAGAAAACACAGGAAUAAAAAUCCUAGAUUCUUCGAUGGCCUUGAGGAGUGAUGGUGUGAUUUCAUCUCCUCUUUGAAGAUCAUUGUCAUCAAUGAAGGUUUUGAUUCCCUUGUCAGUAAGAGCCUUGUAGAGAUUGCCGGUAAAACCGUGGCGAGUGUCAGUGCCCCUAAAACUAAGGAACACUUGGUAAGUGAAUGCAUAUGAAAAUGAAGAGGAAGAGGGAGGUGAUUGCAUAGCCAUGAGAAUUGAGAGAAAUUAGAUGAAAAAAGAGUUUGAGAAUAUGAAUGAGUAAGUUUUUGUGGUCUGUGAUGUGGAGUCUUUAAUAUGAAACUAUUUAAAAGGGAGAACACUUAUGACAAAAAUGGUCUGUGAAACUUCUUGGCCACUUCCUAUAGCCGUGUGGACCAAUCAUUGUACUACCACCUCUUCUUCUUGCUAAUUUCUUCCAUGUCAUUACUGUUCAACUUCUUGCUAAUUGCUUAUUCAGUGUGUGGGAAACUUCCUUCUCACAUCCCUUACUCUCUUUAUUUACUUUGCCCUAUUAAUUUAUGGUUUCACCUUUUAUUUAAAUGUGUCAACUGAAGUUAAAUCAUUUGAUAAAAAGCUAAUCUUUUUGUUUAAAUGAAUAUGAAAGAAGACUAUGGUUGAACUGAACUUAUGUCAAACUAAAAAUAUUAAAAAAUUAUCAACACAAUUCAAACCCCGUCUUUUUUUGUGUUUUCUGGGACAUUAUUCAUUUACAUCCAUCCUUAUGCUUUUCUUGUCAAACAAAUCAGAUGGUUUCAGAUUCGCCAACUCAGGAUUAAGGUCACCGAGACAAAUUAUCAUAGCCUCCAAAAAAAUAUGAACUUCUUAUUUAACAAAAAAAACUAAUAUUUUACCAUAGUACGGGUAGACGAUCUAGUUUCAUAGUAAACCUCAAUAUGUGGUGAAACAACCUUAACAACUUUUGUGCUAAUUUGUAUUUUGUUGUUCAUGCAAAAUACUACUAACACUGUUCUGUUUUAUGUGUCUUUUUUAAAGAAUAAUUUUGUUUCAAUUUAACUGUCAUUUUCAAAGUUCAAUACAACAUUAAAUAUUAUUUUACCAAUAUUAACCUUAGUUAUUUAUUACAGAAAGAUAAAUAUAUGAAAUGAAAUAUUAUAAGACUAUUAUAGUAGAAGUAAAAAUUAU